AGUGAACGCUGGCGGUAGGCCUAACACAUGCAAGUCGAACGGCAGCACAGUAAGAGCUUGCUCUUACGGGUGGCGAGUGGCGGACGGGUGAGGAAUACAUCGGAAUCUACUUUUUCGUGGGGGAUAACGUAGGGAAACUUACGCUAAUACCGCAUAUGACCUACGGGUGAAAGCAGGGGAUCUUCGGACCUUGCGCGAUUGAAUGAGCCGAUGUCGGAUUAGCUAGUUGGCGGGGUAAAGGCCCACCAAGGCGACGAUCCGUAGCUGGUCUGAGAGGAUGAUCGGCCACACUGGAACUUAGACACGGUCCAGACUCCUACGGGAGGCAGCAGUGGGGAAUAUUGGACAAUGGGCGCAAGCCUGAACCAGCCAUACCGCGUGGGUUAAGAAGACCUUCGGGUUGUAAAGCCCUUUUUUUGGGAAAGAAAAGCAGCAGGUUAAUACCCCGCUGUUCUGACGGUACCCAAAGAAUAAGCACCGGCUAACUUCGUG
RNAcentral lists this ribosomal RNA (492 nucleotides) under uncultured bacterium. RNAcentral's name for it is "partial 16S ribosomal RNA". It matches the Rfam family "Bacterial small subunit ribosomal RNA", at positions 29 to 507 of the family's 1533-position model. The record is from RNAcentral.